Saccostrea cuccullata (small rock oyster) is the source of this 499-nucleotide long non-coding RNA. RefSeq lists it as uncharacterized. The record is from RefSeq and is a predicted model, not a curated record. The transcript has 5 exons. NCBI's taxonomy places the organism in Eukaryota, Metazoa, Mollusca, Bivalvia, Ostreida, Ostreidae.
AUUACAAUACGAAACAGCUGUCAAAACAGAUAAUAAUGAAGCAAGUGUUUUUAUGUGGAUUGUUAUUUUGCAGUAUUAUUGUCGUGGUCAACGGACAAGGAUACCGUCCAAGGCGUCCUCCAUCCAAUCCAAUGUGUAGUUAACCGCGUGAGCCUGGUCCGUGCAGAGGUUCCUGCCCCCGGUAUUACUACGACUCCAGAAGAGGCACCUGUCGUUCCUUUACCUAUGGAUGCUGUGGUGGAAAUGCAAACAACUUUCAAACAAGACAGCUUUGUAAUAGAGUUUGUAACACUAGAGUCUGUCCUGUAAUACCUUGUUUUGUUGGACCAUGUACUGUUCAGACUUGUCCGGAGUAUCCUGAGGCCACUUGUGUUGCUGUUUGCCCAUGCACAUCUGUUUGGAUAUAUAAUGGAGAAGACGUCUCAAACCGUUGUUUCAACAGAGGUUAAUUUAUAAUCAGCGUUCAAGACCAUGAUGCGAAUAAAAAAAAAUGAUAACA